This is a non-coding RNA of Plicaturopsis crispa FD-325 SS-3, 83 nucleotides long. Lineage: Eukaryota; Fungi; Basidiomycota; Agaricomycetes; Amylocorticiales; Amylocorticiaceae. The record is from the annotation of a GenBank genome assembly.
GUCUCAAUAGCUCAGUGGUAGUAGCGUGCGAUUGCAGUUUGCACUGUAUCGCAAUGUCACGUGUUCGAACCACGUUUGGGACU